GAUGAACGCUGGCGGCAUGCCUAAUACAUGCAAGUCGAGCGAACAGAUGAAGUGCUUGCACUUCUGACGUUAGCGGCGAACGGGUGAGUAACACGUAAGGAAUCUACCUAUAAGCGGGGGAUAACAUUCGGAAACGGGUGCUAAUACCGCAUAAUAUCUUCUUCCGCAUGGAAGAAGAUUGAAAGACGGCUCUGCUGUCACUUAUAGAUGACCUUGCGGUGCAUUAGUUAGUUGGUGGGGUAAUGGCCUACCAAGACGAUGAUGCAUAGCCGACCUGAGAGGGGGAUCGGCCACAUUGGGACUGAGACACGGCCCAAACUCCUACGGGAGGCAGCAGUAGGGAAUCUUCCGCAAUGGGCGAAAGCCUGGCGGAGCAAUGCCGCGUGAGUGAAGAAGGCCUUCGGGUCGUAAAACUCUGUUAUAAGAGAAGAACAAAUUGUAGAGUAACUGCUACAGUCUUGACGGUAUCUUAUCAGAAAGCCACGGCUAACUACGUGCCAGCCGCCGCCGUAA
Molecule: ribosomal RNA, 513 nt
Filed under: uncultured bacterium
Lineage: Bacteria
Description: partial 16S ribosomal RNA
Rfam family: Bacterial small subunit ribosomal RNA
Source: RNAcentral